RNAcentral lists this long non-coding RNA (1259 nucleotides) under Felis catus (domestic cat). RNAcentral's name for it is "lncRNA (ENSFCAG00000051421.1)". Lineage: Eukaryota; Metazoa; Chordata; Mammalia; Carnivora; Felidae. The record is from RNAcentral.
UCGGAGUUUCCAAGUCUCUCCUCCUUCUCUCCUCCCCGCCCGGCGCUUCCGAGCCCCUUCUGUCUCGUUUCUUUUUAUUUUUCCGCACCGCACGGGCACCGGGGGCCAAAAAUAAUCGGGGCUCUGGAGAGAGGAGGGUCCCGGCCGCACGGAUAUCGGGCCCCGAGGGGGGAUGGAGGCGUCGGGGGCGGCCGAUGCAACGGAUUGCGAGGCGGCGGCGGCAGCCCGGGUGCUGCGGCCGGCAGCUGAAAAAUGGCUCCAGGAAGCUGCUGCUGACAAUGAAUGAAGGGAUACGGUUUACGCGCCAAGGUCCUCCCGCGAAACUCAGAUUUCCCGCCGGCUUUUCAAACUAUAUUUGCAUAUCCCCGCCCUUCAACCCGCCGAGGACCGUUCCCACAGCCCAUUGGGCCUCUAGCUCCUUACUUAAGUCCCAAUCGUGGCGCAGGGCCGCGGCUGGCUAGUUUCCAUUGGCUGUCUUGCAUCACGGUUACCGGGGCGACAGGGGCCUCAUUUGCAUAGACCUCCUUGAUUGGCUAAGGGAGAGCAGGGUCUUUGGGAGGUGGGGCAAAAGCCUUUCCUUCUCUCCCACGGAAAGCCACGCCUUGUCCAAGCUCCGCCCGGUCCCCGCCCGCACGCCGGGCGGGGGCUGCUGACCUGGGCAGGCGCUCAGCGCCCCGCAGACUCAGUGUCAAUCCGGUCUGGAGCGCAAGUUUCGCUUUUAGAAAUUGUCAAGGUGACCAAGGGGACACUUGCGGGAAUUCUCUUUCCUUUGGCCAGUCAGUGUAAUAGAUGAGCAAAAUCUGGAGAUUCUCCCAAAUAUGUUCCAAAGGCAAGUUGGACCACGCGGACGAUGCCUGGCAGGGCAUUUGGUAGAAAACAAACGUUUUGACACGGUAACAUGCGGUGAACCCCAGGAUGAAGUGGUAGAGAGAAGGGUCCGAAGAGAGAAGAGAAGGUGUUGGAAAACGAGAUGCGAAAAUUUGAGGACACGACGUCUGUCUUUGAGAGGCUGGCAUGGAGGAGGCAGAGCGGUGAAGCGGAGAGAAUGUGACCUUGGAGUCAGACGGACCUAUUUUGAUUUCUUACCGCACCCAAUCAAGAUCAUUAACUUCUGUGAACGUUCAUCACAGUCUUAAAGGAAGAUAAUAGCUCACUCUGUGUGGUUCCUGUGAAGACUGGACGGGACCUUACACACUGCUUGCCCCAUUCCACAUUCAUGACGAAAUAAAUGGUUAGAAUCAUUAUGUGUAUUGUUUGAA